This 465-nucleotide ribosomal RNA is filed under the name Vreelandella stevensii. RNAcentral describes it as "partial 16S ribosomal RNA". It matches the Rfam family "Bacterial small subunit ribosomal RNA", at positions 338 to 795 of the family's 1533-position model. The record is from RNAcentral. Lineage: Bacteria; Pseudomonadati; Pseudomonadota; Gammaproteobacteria; Oceanospirillales; Halomonadaceae.
CCUACGGGAGGCUGCAGUGGGGAAUAUUGGACAAUGGGGGCAACCCUGAUCCAGCCAUGCCGCGUGUGUGAAGAAGGCCCUCGGGUUGUAAAGCACUUUCAGUGAGGAAGAACGCCUGGUGGUUAAUACCCAUCAGGAAAGACAUCACUCACAGAAGAAGCACCGGCUAACUCCGUGCCAGCAGCCGCGGUAAUACGGAGGGUGCGAGCGUUAAUCGGAAUUACUGGGCGUAAAGCGCGCGUAGGUGGCUUGAUAAGCCGGUUGUGAAAGCCCCGGGCUCAACCUGGGAACGGCAUCCGGAACUGUCAAGCUAGAGUGCAGGAGAGGAAGGUAGAAUUCCCGGUGUAGCGGUGAAAUGCGUAGAGAGCGGGAGGAAUACCAGUGGCGAAGGCGGCCUUCUGGACUGACACUGACACUGAGGUGCGAAAGCGUGGGUAGCAAACAGGAUUAGAUACCCGUGUAGUC